GCGAGAGUUGUCUUUUCUCGUUAACGCCUUUGGUCGACCCUGGAAUCGGCUUGUCUGGCGAUAGGGUGGACUGGGCGGGAAAGCGGGGCACCUUUUGCCCCGUC
RNAcentral lists this non-coding RNA (104 nucleotides) under Ectocarpus siliculosus. RNAcentral describes it as "Eukaryotic large subunit ribosomal RNA". It matches the Rfam family "Eukaryotic large subunit ribosomal RNA", at positions 1683 to 1784 of the family's 3401-position model. The record is from Rfam by way of RNAcentral. Lineage: Eukaryota; Phaeophyceae; Ectocarpales; Ectocarpaceae.